Molecule: ribosomal RNA, 492 nt
Filed under: uncultured bacterium
Lineage: Bacteria
Description: partial 16S ribosomal RNA
Rfam family: Bacterial small subunit ribosomal RNA
Source: RNAcentral
AGUGAACGCUGGCGGUAGGCCUAACACAUGCAAGUCGAACGGCAGCACAGUAAGAGCUUGCUCUUACGGGUGGCGAGUGGCGGACGGGUGAGGAAUACAUCGGAAUCUACUUUUUCGUGGGGGAUAACGUAGGGAAACUUACGCUAAUACCGCAUACGACCUACGGGUGAAAGCAGGGGAUCUUCGGACCUUGCGCGAUUGAAUGAGCCGAUGUCGGAUUAGCUAGUUGGCGGGGUAAAGGCCCACCAAGGCGACGAUCCGUAGCUGGUCUGAGAGGAUGAUCAGCCACACUGGAACUGAGACACGGUCCAGACUCCUACGGGAGGCAGCAGUGGGGAAUAUUGGACAAUGGGCGCAAGCCUGAUCCAGCCAUACCGCGUGGGUGAAGAGGGCCUUCGGGUUGUAAAGCCCUUUUGUUGGGAAAGAAAAGCAGCAGGUUAAUACCCCGCUGUUCUGACGGUACCCAAAGAAUAGGCACCGGCUAACUUCGUG